ACAGGACCUCAGGUGAGG
This 18-nucleotide ribosomal RNA is filed under the name Psilotum nudum. RNAcentral's name for it is "partial 28S ribosomal RNA". The record is from RNAcentral. Lineage: Eukaryota; Viridiplantae; Streptophyta; Polypodiopsida; Psilotales; Psilotaceae.